GACGAACGCUGGCGGCGUGCUUAACACAUGCAAGUCGAACGGCAAGGCCCUGCUUUUGUGGGGUGCUCGAGUGGCGAACGCGUGAGUAACACGUGAGUAUCCUGCCCUUGACUUUGGGAUAUCUUCAGGAAACUGGGGCUAAUACCGGAUAGGAGCUCCUGCUGCAUGGUGGGGGUUGGUAAGUUUCGGCGGUUGGGGAUGGACUCGCGGCUUUUCAGCUUGUUGGUGGGGUAGUGGCUUACCAAGGCUUUGACGGGUAGCCGGCCUGUGAGGGUGACCGGCCACAUUGGGACUGAGAUACGGCCCAGACGCCAACGGGAGGAAGCAGUGGGGAAUAUAGCACAAUGGGGGGAAGCCUGAUGAAGCAACGCCGCGUGCGGGAUGACGGCCUUCGGGGUGUAAACCGAAUUCGCCUGAGACGAAGCGUGAGUGACGGUAAUGGGUAAAGAAGCACCGGCUAACUACGUG
RNAcentral lists this ribosomal RNA (468 nucleotides) under uncultured bacterium. Its description in RNAcentral is "partial 16S ribosomal RNA". It matches the Rfam family "Bacterial small subunit ribosomal RNA", at positions 28 to 507 of the family's 1533-position model. The record is from RNAcentral.